CUUGAAUCAUUACUUCACCUGCGCCGAGUUUGGUGCAAAUAAAAUUGGAGACAUAAAAUUACCGUUUUAUGUAUCCGAAGAUAUGAAUAUCCGCAAACACCCGGUCGUAGGAUUAUUUGGCAGAACCUCUAAUCCUUCCCUCCAUUCGUUUAGUUCUUUUGGUUUGCUCUUCUUUAGGUGCUGUGCAGUUUUAAAUGGUGCAUGCAUCGUUACUUCGUGGGAAUGCUGUUCUGAAUUCGACCUUAAUCACCAUCCUUGAUAAAUGCAAGUCAUUGUUAGAGCUGAAGCAAAUUCAUGCUCUGGUGAUCACUUUAGGUCUCUCCCAAGAUGAGCCUUUUGUGUCUAGAAUUCUUUCCUUCUCCGCACUAUCUGAUUCAGCAAACAUCGAUUACUCCUACCGGGUUCUUUUAUCUCUCUCAAACCCAACAAUCUUCAAUUGUAACAAAGUCAUGAGAGGAUAUUCGAAGAGCAAAUACCCAAAUAAAUCAGUAUCGGUUUUUGUUAAAAUGUUACGGGUUGGAAUCUUGCCUGACUAUUUAACAUUCCCUUUUCUUGCCAAGGCAUCAGCUGGUCUCUUGAAUCGAGAACUCGGUAUGGCCUUUCAUGCCCAUAUUAUAAAAGCUGGGUAUGAAUCUGAUAGGUUUGUUUCGAAUUCUUUGAUUCAUAUGUAUGCAACUUUUGGAGAUAUUUUGCAUGCACGGAAAGUGUUCGAUGGAAUACCUCUCAAGAAUUUGGUAUCAUGGAAUUCCAUGGUAGAUGGCUACGCAAAAUGUGGAGAUAUGGCUUUGGCAUUCGAAUUGUUUGAUUCAAUGCCUGAACAUGACGUCUUGUCGUGGAGUUCUUUGAUUGAUGGGUAUGUUAAGAGUGGGGAUUACGGCGAUGCUUUGGCAGUUUUUGAGAAAAUGAGGGUCUCGGGUCCCAAUCCCAAUGAGGUGACUAUGGUGAGUGUAUUGUGUGCUUGUGCUCACUUGGGUGCCCUUGAUAAAGGGAGGAUGAUGCAUCGUUACGUGAUUGAUAAUGGGUUGCCAUUGACUCUGGUUUUGCGCACCUCUCUUGUGGACAUGUAUGCCAAAUGCGGGGCAAUACAAGAGGCUUUCAGCGUGUUUCGUGGGGUUUCCAAGGAGCUGAGUGAUGUGUUAAUUUGGAAUGCUAUGAUUGGAGGAUUAGCAACUCAUGGUUUGGUUAAAGAAUCACUUGAUUUGUUUACAGAAAUGCAUAUUGUUGGGGUUAAGUCAGACGAAAUCACAUACUUGAGCUUGUUGAGUGCUUGUGCCCGUGGUGGGUUAGUAAAGGAAGCUUGGUAUUUCUUUGACUGUCUUCGUAAACAUGGAAUGGCUCCUAAGAGUGAGCAUUAUGCUUGUAUGGUGGAUGUUAUGGCUCGUGCUGGCCAAAUUGCAGAGGCAUACCAAUUUCUAUGUCAAAUGCCCAUCGAGCCAACAGCUUCAAUGUUAGGUGCUCUGCUAAGUGGAUGUAUGAACCACAGAAAGUUUGAUCUUGCAGAAAUGGUAGGAAGGAAACUUAUUGAGCUAGAGCCAUACCAUGAUGGCAGAUAUAUUGGCUUAUCAAAUAUUUAUGCUAUUGUGAGACGCUGGGAUAAAGCAAGAAGCACGAGAGAGGCCAUGGAGAGGAUGGGGGUGAAAAAAUCUCCUGGUUAUAGCUUUGUGGAGAUUUAUGGAGCUUUGCAUAUAUUCGUUGCACAUGAUAAAAUGCAUCCUAGUUCAGAGCAAAUAUAUAUGAUGUUAAAUUUUGUUGUAAGCCAAAUGAAGCAUACUGUUGAUUAUGAAAAUCAAGAAUAUUCUUUUGUAUGAUAAGGAAGGAGAAGAUUAAUUAUUAAUUACU
RNAcentral lists this unclassified non-coding RNA (1839 nucleotides) under Hevea brasiliensis (rubber tree). The record is from RNAcentral. Lineage: Eukaryota; Viridiplantae; Streptophyta; Magnoliopsida; Malpighiales; Euphorbiaceae.